This 351-nucleotide transfer-messenger RNA is filed under the name uncultured Peptoniphilus sp. It matches the Rfam family "transfer-messenger RNA". Rfam says of the family: Bacterial tmRNA, also known as 10Sa RNA or SsrA, is named for its dual tRNA and mRNA-like properties. Its role is to liberate the mRNA from a stalled ribosome. The record is from RNAcentral. Lineage: Bacteria; Bacillati; Bacillota; Tissierellia; Tissierellales; Peptoniphilaceae.
GGGGGCGAAAAUGGUUUCGACGGGGAUUCUGAGCCUAAAGUAGCGAGUCGUUGAUGAAUCACACAACGCUAAAACGGUUCAAAAAAAUAAACGACGAAAAUAAUUUCGCAUUAGCUGCCUAAGGGCGGCUUAUCUAACUUAAAGUUCCCACGCUUUAAGCUUAGGUAUCAUAUUUAAGUGGGGAACCGAGUCGUGUAAGGUGUCAUAACACGAAACGGAACUUAUGACAAUACUCUAUAGCUUUUUGAUUAUUUAGUUGUUAUAGGGGAAAAUUUAAAAAUAGUCUGCACUCGGAGAAGCUUUUUGCAGACGGAUCUUCGGACGUGAGUUCGACUCUCACCGCCUCCACCA